RNAcentral lists this transfer RNA (76 nucleotides) under Nocardioides potassii. RNAcentral's name for it is "tRNA-Arg". It matches the Rfam family "tRNA", at positions 10 to 71 of the family's 71-position model. Rfam says of the family: Transfer RNA (tRNA) molecules are approximately 80 nucleotides in length. Their secondary structure includes four short double-helical elements and three loops (D, anti-codon, and T loops). Further hydrogen bonds mediate the characteristic L-shaped molecular structure. tRNAs have two regions of fundamental functional importance: the anti-codon, which is responsible for specific mRNA codon recognition, and the 3' end, to which the tRNAs corresponding amino acid is attached (by aminoacyl-tRNA synthetases). tRNAs cope with the degeneracy of the genetic code in two manners: having more than one tRNA (with a specific anti-codon) for a particular amino acid; and 'wobble' base-pairing, i.e. permitting non-standard base-pairing at the 3rd anti-codon position. Lineage: Bacteria; Bacillati; Actinomycetota; Actinomycetes; Propionibacteriales; Nocardioidaceae. The record is from RNAcentral.
GCUUCUGUUCGUCUCGGCCUCGGGAAGCAUCUGACUACGGAUCAGAAGGUUUGGGGUUCGAAUCCCUACAGGCGCG